Long non-coding RNA from Contarinia nasturtii (swede midge), 1509 nucleotides. RefSeq lists it as uncharacterized. The record is from RefSeq and is a predicted model, not a curated record. The transcript has 3 exons. Lineage: Eukaryota; Metazoa; Arthropoda; Insecta; Diptera; Cecidomyiidae.
GUACCAUUUUAAAAAAAAUUAUGGAGCAACCUACGUACAAGUAUCAACAGUACGCACGAUAUGUCAUAACCAACCUCACCACACAUGAUGAAAAACGUCUUAAUGAGUUUUUAAGUUUGAAAGUUUGGGAAUUCAACGGGGACAAUGUUGAUCCAGACAACGUUUUUGAUGACAUUGAUAUAAAAAAUGCAGUAAAUUGGGCAAUCUAUCGUUACAAUUCAACCUGUGAUAAUGUUGACAGAUUGAAGAAAUGCUAUCGCUUGCUGAGUUGUGCAAGAGACAUUGGCGGACCAGCUGACGACAACAUCGCAAAAGAUACAAAAGAAAAUUAGUUCUCAUCGUUGCCAAUGUGGCUUGAGAUGCAAGCAAGAUCGUUAUCACAAUUGGAUGCAAGACAACCGCGAUAGAAUUCCUGAAGACUGGGUGUUACCAAAUCAAAAUGGUUACCAGGAAUGAAAACCUGGAAUGCUACGGUCCGACGACAUAUUGACUCGGGUAAAGAGAUGAAUUUUAAAAUAAGUAGCAAAAAGUACCACUAUAUGACAAAACAAGGAGUGCGAAACUCAAAAGCCAAAUGAUGGAUGCGUCAGUUUGUUGCAUUUGAACAGAAUGAUCGAAAUAACCGAACUCGUUACGAGCGAAUGCCGAAUCCAAAGUCAGAAAACUGGAAAGAUUACAUAACUCAUCGUCUGACAAUUAUGAAGAGAGCCAUUCACACAAAAAAUAAGCCUGACAAAUUAUUUUAGGAUUCCUAUUAAAAUAUUAAUUUGUAAGGUUUCCUUAUAAUAUUGGAACAUUUUAUCAGGAAACCUUUAAAUAAUAAAAAUGUUUUGUUUCAACACAGUGAAGUUGGCUUUGACGUUUGGACGCGCCAAUUUAUUAGGAUUCCUGUUAAAAUAUUGCGAUUUUAUAAGGAAACCUUACAAAUUCAUUUUUUUAAUAGGGAUCCUAAAAUAAUUUGUUGGGUUUUUCUCUUGUGUGUUGCAGUACACACGACCGAAAAGUAUACCCGGCUACACGACCGAACAAUUCGAUAAAUACAUUGAAUCAAAUCGUGUAUGCGAUAAGAUUGCUGCCAUGAUGACAAAUCGCAAGCCAUGCAUCAUGGGAGCAGCUCAAAUAUCGCCGAACUCGCCGAUAAAGAUAAAAAAGAACAUAAGAUGUCCAGGCAAUAGAAAAAUGAUAAAAAGUUUCAAGAAAAUGAAGGGAAAUGUGGUUAAAAUGGUGAACGAGUACAGAACAUCAAAAAUGUGCGCACGUUGUUUUCGACCAUUCCCUGUGGAAACAUUGAGCCAUCGUUUCAAGAUGUGUGUAUGGUGUAUGCCAGAUGAUUGGCCAGCUACUGACGAAAAUUGUAACCAUGAAGAGCAAGCGAGAGCUGUUAUAAGAACGACGAGAUGUGCGAGAGGCAAUGAUUGUGAAUCCAUUGGUUUUGUGUCGAAAGUCAGCAUGGGUUCAUCAAAAAUGUGUCAACGAUAACGAACUUGGCAGAAUUUACAUCGAAUACGA